UGCUGGUCCUCAUACCUUAUGCCCAAGGGCUAUGCAGGUACUGGUGAUGAUGGAGCCCCACUGAGUUUUGAUAUGAUCAAGUAGAAAUGCUAUGUCACUGGCUUUGCAAAGUGAGGAGUGUGUUAUGAUCAGUUGAGGGCAAGAGAAUAAUGCAGUGAGUUGUUAAUGAGAAGACCUGCUCAUCUUGCUUCUGGAUCCCAAGUCCCCAGAGGACCCUGGCUCAACUCCAGCUUAGUGUUGGAACUCUAGCAGGUAAGGAUAAGCAGGUAGAAAAAAAGGGGGAAAAGGCUCACUCUGGUCUUGAGUGAUCCAACUCUGGGUUAACAGAGCUUCAGAAGCACUCAGUGGUGACAAUUCAGGAUCAGCUCUCUCUUCAGAAAGCCUGGGCUUUUACUUCAGGAAAGGGCUUUCCAGUUUCACUCAAGAAAAGAUCUCAAUCCCCUAACUAGCACCAAAACU
RNAcentral lists this long non-coding RNA (459 nucleotides) under Homo sapiens (human). Its description in RNAcentral is "HSALNT0281548". Lineage: Eukaryota; Metazoa; Chordata; Mammalia; Primates; Hominidae. The record is from RNAcentral.